GGCCGGGUAGCUCAAUGGUAGAGCGUCUGACUCCGAGUCAGAAGGUGUAGGUUCGAGUCCUGCCCUGGCUA
Molecule: transfer RNA, 71 nt
Filed under: Metarhizium robertsii ARSEF 23
Lineage: Eukaryota; Fungi; Ascomycota; Sordariomycetes; Hypocreales; Clavicipitaceae
Description: tRNA-Arg (CCG) (tRNA-Arg-CCG-1-1)
Rfam family: tRNA
About the family: Transfer RNA (tRNA) molecules are approximately 80 nucleotides in length. Their secondary structure includes four short double-helical elements and three loops (D, anti-codon, and T loops).
Source: RNAcentral